This 336-nucleotide small nuclear RNA is filed under the name Chinchilla lanigera (long-tailed chinchilla). RNAcentral's name for it is "7SK RNA (ENSCLAG00000021577.1)". It matches the Rfam family "7SK RNA". From Rfam's summary of the family: 7SK was discovered as an abundant small nuclear RNA in the mid-70s but a possible function has only recently been suggested. The record is from RNAcentral. Lineage: Eukaryota; Metazoa; Chordata; Mammalia; Rodentia; Chinchillidae.
AGAUAGGAUGGUGAUCUGGCUGCAACAUCUGUCACCCCAUUGAUCACCAGGGUGGAUUCAGCUAAUCUGGCUGGCUACGCAGUGUCCCCUUCCUCCAUCACCCGCUCCACGUGUGUCUCUCCUGACGCUGAGCAGGACCAGCCCCAGAGGAAGAGGACCGCUCCUCAGUCAAGGGGACAUGAGUAGCUGCAUUCCCCUGCUGGAACCUCCAAACAAGUUCUCUCAAGGUAAACUGUCUUAAAAAAUAAUAAUAAUAAUUCCCCAAAUCCUUCCCACAAAAACAAAGAAAUAACUCCAGGCCUAGGUUGCUUUGCUGGUUUUUUGGAGUUUUUGUUU